RNAcentral lists this long non-coding RNA (6285 nucleotides) under Gossypium barbadense (sea-island cotton). RNAcentral describes it as "long non-coding RNA (GBAR_LNC023531)". The record is from RNAcentral. Lineage: Eukaryota; Viridiplantae; Streptophyta; Magnoliopsida; Malvales; Malvaceae.
AUGAAUAAAGACAUCAGUUUGAAAUAUAAUUUCUUUCAUAUUUUCACCUUUGGGUACAAAGUUAAGAGCAAUUCAACUUGCCUUACUCAAAUCCGUUUUCCCGUCAGCUUUUGCGCCAAACUUGGCAACAACAUCAAUAGCGCCUGAUUGAACUUUAGAGGCUGAAAUGAAUAAUAAUAAAAGCACAAACAUGGAAGGAACAAUAUUAAGGUGUGGUGCCAUGUUUUUAUUUGGUUUUGAAAUUACACGAAGAAUGGCUUUUCCUUUUGUUUUUUUCCAAAUAUAUAGAAAUUUUGAGAAAAUUACAACCAAUCAAAUAUAUUACUAUUUAAUCAAUGUGGAAAAGUCAUAUGGCCAAGCUUCAAUAUCUAUGAUUAGCUUGUUUCUUUAAUAUCAACUUCGCACGGUUAGAUAGUUUUGUGGUUAAUUUUUUCACAACUUUAAUAAUUUAAACUAUGUGAAAGGAUUUUAUUAUGGAAAGAUUGAAAAGCAUUAUUUUACAUUUUAUCUUCAAAAUAAUAUCUUUACUAGAUGGUGGCGAAUAUAAUUAUGUUCCGUUAAAUUUAUCAAUGUUAUUUCGAAAAGUAUAAUCCUAAUUAUUCAAUAAAAAUUGUUGAUACAGUAAUGUGGUUUGGUGGUUGACGAAGGUUCACACCAUAUUGCCGAAAGCAAUUCUGGUGGUUUCUAGCACUCUUCUCAAUCACUGUUUUCCUGGCCCUAUAAUACCUAGUCGAGCUAACGUUCGCCCUGGACUUCAGCCUAAACUUCACCCACGUAACAAUUAUUAGUGAAAACCUGAUGGGCAUUUGACUUCUCUUUCCAAAUAGAUUUACUUUUAUCUUUUAAUUUCCUCAACUUCUCUCAAGCAUCUUGUAAUUUCUUAUCUUCAUCCCCAUCUAACACGUAUCGAAUUUCACAAGGUAUGACUUUUCACCACCAACACCAACCCUUUCAUUAUCACCCUUGUAUGAAUCCUCACGUUCACCUUUACCCUCAUCCCCACCCCUCAUUCUAGAAGAUACAAACUGACCAUGAGAUAAAAUGGAUCGAAUUAGUGGGAAAAUAUUGAACCUAAAUAGAUGAUCGGCAUUCUAUGAUAGUAACCUGCAUUUGACAAGGUAAAUGGACAAAGCUUUACAAGCUUAGCUUUCGUAACAUUAUAUAUUGGGGAGAUCGAUCAUGGUACUUUUAGUAGAUUGAGUCUACAACUAAAUAAAUUCUAAUUAAGAUUUUAUUUAAGCCCUAAUUAUUUAUGUACGAUCGAUCCCUCUGCUAGCUUAAUAUAACUCUAAGUAGAUUGCAUAAUAAGAACUGAUUGAAUGUAUGGAUGCAAAUGAUAUAUUAGAAUUAGAUGGAAUGAAUUACUAUUCCAUGUAAAUGCGAUUUCAUGAGAAUGGAAAAGAUGACCCGGAAUUAAUUUAAUUCCGUCGGUUUGUUAUUUAAUUCAAUGAAUAAAUUAAAUAAAUAAGUCCAAAGUGAGGAUUAAAUUAAGUAGUUAACGUAGUUAUAUUUUGUUCAGAUAAUUAAAUUAAUUUGCAUGUAAAUUCUAGUCUGGAAAAGCUUUCAUGAUUCUAACAAAAAUUGAAUGGGGUUUUGUAAAUUAAGUAGUGGAAAUAAUUAAAUUUAAUGAAAUAUUUAAUUUCAAAAAACUUAAUUCAUGGAAGAAUAUAUGCUAUUGGGUUAGAUAAUCAUAUGGUCUUGAUUUCUUAUUUAAGUCAAGAGAGGUAGGCUCGUAUAAUUAAACUGGAGAACAAACCACUAAGGUAAGUGUGCCUCCGCACACAAAGAGAGUUAUCUCUUGGAGUCGCUGGCCAUGGGGUUAAAAAUGUCCUAGUUGGACUUUAGUUCUUCUAUAUUAUUUAUUUUACGUACAUCGGAUACAAAUAUAACUCUUGCAUAUGUUUCUUUAUCAAUACCCAAUUUAUGUAAAAAAAAACCAAGGACAAUAUAUACUAAGAGAAAACUUUGUAGAAAUUUAUUGAAAUAUUAGUUAGAUUCUAUUUUCUUUCAACUCAAAUCAAUUCUAUCGUUUUAGACUUUGUAAUUUAGAUUUUUAAGAUUAUAAUGACAUUCUUCUAAAGAGAAUAAUUGAAUUAUAGGAGUUGUUUUCGAUUGGGUGGAACACAAAGAGGUAGUUGACAUACCUCCUUGAUUAGUCUCGGUUUACGUCUUCUUUUCAGUUUUGGAUAGGACGCAAAGAGCUAGAUGCAUAGUUGCUUGAGAAGUCUCGAUUCACGUCUUGUGCUUUACUUUUUCAGUUACAUCCCACUUUCCAAGCACCUGAGUGUUCAAGAAUAGGGAAGAAAAUCGUUCAGUAGAAAGGUUGAAGACAUUGGACUACUAUUCGAAUUGAUCAAGACAAUGAAGGCAUCUCCCAAACUUUCCUUGCGACUUGGACAUCCCCUAAGCCUUGGACCACAACGAUUUAAUUUGAUCAAAUUUAUUACUUUAGAUGUCACGAUAAAUGCCCAUUUUACUAUAGAAAUUAAAACUCUAAUGUUCCUACCCUAGCUACUUUUCUAAAUGCAUUUCCAACAUGAACCCCGAAUCAGAAAAGAAACCAUGAAAAAAAAAGAGUUUCAAGCCAAACACACAAAAAUAAGAAAAAGAGACUAACCUUUGAGAAUCUAAAGGCAAAAACUACACAUCACAUCAACAAAUUUAGGGAUCUUUAAGUGAUAAUCGCAAGAUACCCAAACACUACACUUAAUCUCGAUGUAAAUAUCUCACCUUUCUAAAAAUCUUUAUACAGUUCCACAAAAUGUUCUCUCAUUCUCCUUUUUGGGGUUCAAUUUGUUUAUAUGAAAUAAUUAAACAUAAAAUGGCGUCACAUCAUUAUCGAAUAAUGUGGUUAAUGAGUCCCCAAUAGAUUCGAACAUUCGAGAAGAAAGACGCUGUGCAAGUUUGGAGAAGAAGCUUGGUAGAUUAGAAAAGCGCUAGUUUUGGCCGUGGACUAUAAAGACCUAGUAAUUAUUACUGACCUAUUCAAUUCAGAAAUUAGAGAUCAUUCUUGAUUGUGUUGGAAACAUUCGUUUAGAAAAUGAUUGUUUGGAACAACAAAAAAAAUUAAAAAUUUCUCAACCCAAGCAGUUGUCAUAUUUAUAGGGACAAACCCUUUUACCAAAAUCAUACUUGUGCUCUGGAUUAGGCGGUCUAAGUUGUUUCUCAAUAUUCUACCAACACGAUCUUCUCAACUAUUCAAAAACCUCGGCUAGUUGCUCUAAUCCAUGAAAGGAAGAAAGCUAUGAAAACUUUCUAUUGAUGUUGGAGUGGCGAAUAUUGAUGUCCCUUUAUGGGCCAAAAACUUAAAAAGUAAACAUUCAUAUUUUUAAUUUUUUUUGAAUUAAAUCUCAAUAAAGUUUUACGAUGUCGAUGCUUCACAUCGUGUGUGGUUGACCUAGCCUAUGCUCUCUAUUUAUAGAAAAAUCGCAAGAGUCUUGGUCGAACAAGAAGAAGAAAAUAUAUAAUAACAUUUUAAAAGAGAAUACACAUAAUUCUCUAGUAGGAAUAUGUAUGGGCUUCAACACCCUCUCUUUAGAGAUAGGGUUGUCGCCCAUCUUACGUGAGAUGGGGUCAUCGGGUCUAUCUCAUGUAUUUGGUGUAAUUAUAUGUGUCAUUUAGUAAUUUAAUCGACGCAUAUAAUUUAACCAACCAAAUAAAAAAUUUUCUAUUUCCCAAAAUAUUAAUAAUUUAAUUAAUUAAUUGAAAUAAAUUUUACUAAUUCCAACAAUUAAAUUUUUUUCCAAACCUAGUUCUAAUUCCGUUAAAUUCAUGACAUAUUUACCACACUAGAAUCUAUGAGUAAAUGAAUCUAAUUAUUUUGUUCAACCAGAUUGCGUUAAUUAAUUAAUUUAAUUUUUACUUCAAACACCGGUUCAGUGAUUACUAUUAAUUAAAUAAUAAUUCGAAUAAAUUAAUUUAGUCUUCAAGUCAUCUCUCUUUUAUAACGAGAAAUUCCAUUCACUACGGAUAGUGAUACAUUCGAUCCUUUUCUGUAAUUCAUCAAUUUUAUUUAUUCACCUCAUCAAUUCAAAUGCAAACCAUCAAGGUUGUAUAGAGCUAAUAGAGGGGCCCACUGGAUAUAUAAUUAGAGCUCAAAUAGUUUGUACUUAAGUGCCAUGACCGACCUCUUCUUAUUAUAACUCAUUAUGAAAACAACUCACCAAGUGCUCGUCCAAUGAAUUUUUCGUAUGUGCUAUAGCCUCAUAGGAUAUCCCCAAUCCCUUUCAUUUAUAUCCGUUCACCCAAAAUGAUAUUAUCAUAUCUCAUGGUAACCAUCACAUCUUCUUUCAUGAAGAAUGUUACGUCAACAGAAAAAGAAACAAACCAAUGAACAAAUAUAAUCAUAUGUCUAAGCACACAAAUAAUACAGGAAUAUGUUGUUCAAAAAAUUUGGACGACGAACUUUCAUUUUAAUUAAAAUCUCAAAUUUAAUAUUUUAUUUUCCUUAAAACUGCUAUGUUGGAAGACGGUUUUUAUAAAAAAUUACACGUAGAUAAAGAAAAUUUCAAUCAUUAAUUCUAAUUCAAUAUAGAAACUCAGUGAUGGUUUUGUUAUUAGGUUAAAUUAACUAAAUUUUAUCACACUUCGGCUCUUUGUAUUGAUGUGUGUAUUAAAAGCAUUGAAUUCAUAGCAAAAGUUUAAUAAUGGAAAAGAAUUAAAAUGAAAAAGAACUGUUUUUAUGUAAUAUGAAUAAAUAUAUUAAUUACAAUUGCAUUGAAUCUGUUGGUAUGGUUUAAGCGGUGGCACUUAGGGUUUUUGGGACAGGGCUGGAACAUGGAGUCGGGUUUAAUUUGCCACUAGUUUUAGGCUUGACAUUCAAACAUUGGGAUGUUGCGGGUUCAGGUCCGGUGUGCUUAAUAUCAAUGUCUGCAAGUUCCACAUUUUGACAUGGCGAAGAACCGCUGCAAAUAAACUUGACAGCUUCUGGAAGCGCAGAUGUGCCACGGAUGUUCUUGAAGCUAAUGUUGCUUAGUUUAACUUUCGAUUCUUCCUGCAUCAACACAACAACGAUUCAAUGAUGAAUUAAAUAUUGUCACUCUAUUAGGAUUUUGAUAAGAAUGUACAUACAUUUAUCUUGCAUUUACUCCAUGGGCAAUAUUUUUGAUCAAUUAGGAUAGGGGAAGAGACAUUGUUCACGAUAAUAUCCUCAAAAUGUACAUCUGAUACUAUCCCAGGAGAUUCGCCUGGCCAAGUUUUGAUUCGAGCUCCAUUCGAAGUAUUAGUGAUGGUGCAGUUUGUGACUUUAACUCCCUCAACUGGCUCUUCAUUUGGGUACUUUCCAAGACUACCGAUACUUAUACCAUGUCCUGGUCCACAAGUUAUAUCUUUUAUGUCCAAAUUUUUAGUGCCAUCUCCGAUAGAAAUACAAUCAUCACCAGUUUUAAUCUCACAUCCAAUAAUAUUUACGCCGUCUGAUUUGCCCAUGUGAAUCCCAUCUGUGUUUGGGCUAUCUGCCGGUGCCUCUACCGUGAAACGUUCGAGGGUAAUGUUUUUGCAUGCAAAAACAUUAACGUGGAAUAGUUUACUGUCUUUGCUAGUUAUAUCUUGUAUCAAUGCGUUGGUCAGAAAGUCAAACCUUAUAUUCUGUUUAAUUUUGGAGUUAACAAAGUAACACACGAAACAAAGAUGUUAGUUAUAAUUAUAUUUUGAUAAUAAUAAGAGGAAAGAGAAUAAAUAAAUUUUGGCAAGAGGGAAGAAAGCUGACAACGGGGAGUUUGACACGAAAUGCACGAUUGUGGGGAUCUUUAUUCUUCUCAUAAGCAAUGCUUCCCUGACCAUCGAAAAUUCCUCCGCCGGACAUUUUGAAAUUUUCAAUACUAUAGAAUCUAACCCAAUUAGGGUCCUUGAAAGCACCAGGAUCAGCCGGAGCCUUUAUAGUGCCCUGAACAUUAAUCUCAAUAGGAGCCUUGCAUGGACCUUCUAAGUUUACUUUUGAUAAUAAAUAUGUCCCUUUAGGAAUCACAACUGUUGAUGGGGUUACAGAGGCACAUGCUUCUUUCCAAGCAUCCAAAAAUGGCUAAAAUGAAAUGAAUAAAGACAUCAGUUUGAAAUAUAAUUUCUUUCAUAUUUUCACCUUUGGGUACAAAGUUAAGAGCAAUUCAACUUGCCUUACUCAAAUCCGUUUUCCCGUCAGCUUUUGCGCCAAACUUGGCAACAACAUCAAUAGCGCCUGAUUGAACUUUAGAGGCUGAAAUGAAUAAUAAUAAAAGCACAAACAUGGAAGGAACAAUAUUAAGGUGUGGUGCCAUGUUUUUAUUUGGUUUUGAAAUUACACGAAGAAUG